AGUUUUAAGACUGGAAGAUCCUGAGGAAAGUCACUGCUCCCUGCCCUGGGUUCCCAUCCAGGCCACUUUAGAGGCAAGGCUGUACUGCUGAGAAGAGAUUCUAAAUCCAGCUGGAAAAUGUCCCUCAGCAGGACCCACAGAGGAUAACAUUGAAAAAGGCAGUUUGACCUCCAGGUGGAGAGGGACAAGGCCUACUGUGUGAAGAAGAUGGUGGCCUCAUUCCCCUGCAGCUACCAGCUCCACAAGACAGGACAGUGUCCCCAAGAUGUACGUCUCAGCCAGGACCCCCAGAGCAGCCAGAAAAAGAGAUUGAGAGAAGCACACAGCCCCUCCCCAAGAUCCAGAUGUCAGCCACCACACCUGGCCUGCCACACUUCCUUGAUGCUAUUGACAUUUAUAAUAGCAAGCAGGUUUUCUCCCUUUGGGUCCGGAGAUCAGAGUUCUUUGUUGGGAUUGAAAGCAUGAACGUGUCAUUUGAUGGGGCUUUGGACAGUGGUCAUGACGUGAAGAAUUAGGAAGCCAUAGGCUGGGAGGCAAGCCCAGGGACAUGACCUGCAGAGGAAGGCCCAUGCACCUGCCACCAGGCAUCGAAGACCUCAAGGCCAUUCUCCGGUGAACCCAGGGGUGACAGACUGAACAGUGAAUUGCCAAGACCGAGGGCUGAUCUGCUCUACAGAUGUCUCCUGCAGACUCCAAAGCAUUCUAUAACCUAUUCUAACCACGGCUCUGUGCGGGCUGUGGUGCUUCUGUGCCCUCUGCCCCUGGCACAGCAUGAGGCCGGCAGCUGAUUCAGCGCAUUGUCUGGAGACCCAGCAUGGUGCCAUCUCUGCUGACUUUCAUCUCUAUUGGCUAAGAAUCCUUGCCAACAGGGCCUCUGAAAUGAGGGAGGCACACACGGAUCUGCCCGGGAACGUGUGCUACAAGGUUAAGCGUGUUUGCCCAGGCGAGGCUGGGAGAUGGGCAGCUGACCGUGCACUUCCUGCUCUGUGGACCAGGCUGCACCUCAUGCAGAUGCCUGCCCUGUGUGUGGGGGAGCUGCAUGGAGCACAGAAAAAGCCCACUGGUGCCCUAGCAGACAGAGUGCCCCCAACCUCGUGGGGAUAAGGACACGGUUCACAGAAGCUCUGGCAUGCUAGCAACCUUUGGUGACUGUUUGUGUUCUCCAGGCCUGACUCUCAGACAAGGACAGGCUGUGACAUGC
RNAcentral lists this long non-coding RNA (1201 nucleotides) under Mus musculus (house mouse). RNAcentral describes it as "predicted gene 11734 (Gm11734)". Lineage: Eukaryota; Metazoa; Chordata; Mammalia; Rodentia; Muridae. The record is from RNAcentral.